This 244-nucleotide ribosomal RNA is filed under the name uncultured Staphylococcus sp. Its description in RNAcentral is "partial 16S ribosomal RNA". It matches the Rfam family "Bacterial small subunit ribosomal RNA", at positions 96 to 334 of the family's 1533-position model. The record is from RNAcentral. Lineage: Bacteria; Bacillati; Bacillota; Bacilli; Caryophanales; Staphylococcaceae.
CGGCGGACGGGUGAGUAACACGUGGAUAACCUACCUAUAAGACUGGGAUAACUUCGGGAAACCGGAGCUAAUACCGGAUAAUAUAUUGAACCGCAUGGUUCAAUAGUGAAAGACGGUUUUGCUGUCACUUAUAGAUGGAUCCGCGCCGCAUUAGCUAGUUGGUAAGGUAACGGCUUACCAAGGCAACGAUGCAUAGCCGACCUGAGAGGGUGAUCGGCCACACUGGAACUGAGACACGGUCCAG